This 311-nucleotide ribosomal RNA is filed under the name uncultured bacterium. RNAcentral's name for it is "bacterial SSU rRNA". It matches the Rfam family "Bacterial small subunit ribosomal RNA", at positions 28 to 334 of the family's 1533-position model. The record is from RNAcentral.
GAUGAACGCUAGCGGCAGGCCUAACACAUGCAAGUCGAGGGGUAACAGAGGGUGCUUGCACCUUGCUGACGACCGGCGCACGGGUGCGUAACGCGUAUGCAACCUACCUUUUACAGGAGGAUAGUCAAUAGAAAUGUUGAAUAAUACUCCAUACGAUCUUUGAGUGGCAUUACUUAAAGAAGAAAGCUUUUGCGGUAAAAGAUGGGCAUGCGUCCUAUUAGUUAGUUGGUGAGGUAACUGCUCACCAAGACAUCGAUAGGUAGGGGCCCUGAGAGGGGGAUCCCCCACACUGGUACUGAGACACGGACCAG